UUUUAAAAUUGUUAGAUCGAAUAUCAUGGAAACUACAGAGGCAUUGAAGAAACUCCAAAAACACCGUAUUGAAGCCGCUAAGAAAAAAAUGGCAAAAUCUAAGGAAAGCCGCAACGAAAACGAAGAGGGCGAGAAGAAGGAGGAUUCCGAAAUGCCUGCAGAAGUAGCAUCACAACUAGACCAAGGAGAAGAAGAAGGAGUAGAAGGAGAAGUUGAAGAAGAAGGAUGGGGAGUUGGAGAAGGAGGAGAAGAAGAUGAUGAUGAUGAUGAUAAUGAUGAUGAUGAUGAUGAUGAAAAUGAUGAUGAUGAUGAUGAUGAUGAUGAUGUGAAUUAUGAGGAGGCGGAACGCAUGGACGAAUCAUCUUAAAAGUAGCAUCCCAACCAGACGAAGUAGAAGAAGAGGGGGAAGAAGGAGAAGAAGAAGGAUCGGCAGAUGGAGAAGGAGGAGGAGAAGAGGAUGAUGUGGAAUGUGGGGAGGGGGAAGGCAUCGUCCUUGAGAACAAAUCAUCCUAAUUGUUUAGCUUCCAAAAUCAUAAUGGACGAGAGGCUCAACUGCUUAUUAUAAAUUCAUUCGACUUCAUUGAAGAUACACAAAUACUCGUACUGCCGUACAAUAAACUCAAACUUUCACAAGAAGCUGCACUUAGAACAACACACAUUUAAAAAUUGUUAGAUCGAAUAUCAUGGAAACUACAGAGGCAUUGAAGAAACUCCAAAAACACCGUAUUGAAGCCGCUAAGAAAAGAAUGGGGAAAUCUAAGGAAAGCCAACGAAAACAAAGAGGGCGAGAAGGAGGAUUUCGAAAUGGCCGAAGAAGUAGCAUCACAACUAGACCAAGGAGAAGAAGAAGGAGGAGAAGGAGAAGUUGAAGAAGAAGGAUGGGGAGUUGGAGAAGGAGGAGAAGAAGAUGAUGAUGAUGAUGAUAAUGAUGAUGAUGAUGAUGAUGAUGAUAAUGAUGAUGAUGAUGAUGUGAAUUAUGAGGAGGCGGAACGCAUGGACGAAUCAUCUUAACUGUAGCAUCCCAACCAGACAAAGUAGAAGAAGAGGGGGAAGAAGAAGGAUGGGGAGAUGGAGAAGGAGGAGAAGAAGAUGAUGAUGAUGUGGAUGGUGAGGAGGGGGAAGGCAUCGUCCUUGAGAACAAAUCAUCCUAAUGGGCUAUAUGGGCUAUUGUCAGCUUCCCAAUCCCCUAAAUGAUGUCCUUCCUAGUAUUCGUACCGUUUAUGUUGAUGAUAACUCUAUAUUUUGCGUAGCUUAGCGCAAUUGAAAUGUCAACAAUAGUAAAAGUGUUACCAUCAACGCACUUUUGCUGUAUUUCUUAUGGAGCUCCUGCUUGAGCAAGAUACUAUUUCACAUCUGUUCCUUAUUAAAGUCAUCCAAUUAUAUAACAACCGACGGCAAUUGCAGGAUUAAGAAUGGUCAUCAUCAAUCCUAGUUUCUAAUGCUGCCGUGUUCGACAAAUGCCUGGUCUUGAAUGCCCUUGCAUAUCACGCAAUUCCGUUACGAAGGACUAUGGAUAAAUUGGUCGUGAGAAACUUUGAAAAUAAUACGAUGAAUUCUUUAAAUCAGCUAUACGAAAGUUCUAUAUUCCUGUAAAUGCAAGUGACACAUGCAGACCUUGCAAAUACAAGUACAAGGAGCUAACAAAUCUAUAACAAUUAUGUAUUUCAUAUGAUUAUUAUUGUAAUAAAUUAUUUGUCUUUCUGUUUAA
This is a long non-coding RNA of Scaptodrosophila lebanonensis, 1708 nucleotides long. RefSeq lists it as uncharacterized. The record is from RefSeq and is a predicted model, not a curated record. The transcript has 6 exons. NCBI's taxonomy places the organism in Eukaryota, Metazoa, Arthropoda, Insecta, Diptera, Drosophilidae.